GGUGGGACCAGCCGAAGGCCGGCGACGGCAGCUGUCUUGAAAACAGAAGGCCCCUUCAGCGGGGCGUGCGGGUUCGAUCCCCGCUUCCACCGCCA
RNAcentral lists this transfer RNA (95 nucleotides) under Microbacterium sp. RNAcentral's name for it is "tRNA-Ser". It matches the Rfam family "tRNA". From Rfam's summary of the family: Transfer RNA (tRNA) molecules are approximately 80 nucleotides in length. Lineage: Bacteria; Bacillati; Actinomycetota; Actinomycetes; Micrococcales; Microbacteriaceae. RNAcentral also lists the same sequence under 3 other names. The record is from RNAcentral.